GCUGAUAUGGCUCAGUUGGUAGAGCGCACCAUGGGUAAUGGUGAGGUCCCCAGUUCGACUCUGGGUAUCAGCA
This 73-nucleotide transfer RNA is filed under the name Escherichia coli. RNAcentral's name for it is "tRNA-Thr". Lineage: Bacteria; Pseudomonadati; Pseudomonadota; Gammaproteobacteria; Enterobacterales; Enterobacteriaceae. The record is from RNAcentral.